This 247-nucleotide unclassified non-coding RNA is filed under the name Chytridiomycota sp. Its description in RNAcentral is "partial contains small subunit ribosomal RNA, internal transcribed spacer 1, and 5.8S ribosomal RNA". The stretch from base 1 to 47 matches the Rfam family "Eukaryotic small subunit ribosomal RNA", at positions 1785 to 1831 of the family's 1831-position model. Lineage: Eukaryota; Fungi; Chytridiomycota. The record is from RNAcentral.
AAAGUCGUAACAAGGUAACCGUAGGUGAACCUGCGGUUGGAUCAUUAAUGAUUUUUUUGAUUUUAGUUGGUAGAGAAUCUUUAAAGAUUCUCCCACUAUAAUCUAUCAACCCUUUGUGCAAUAUGAUGUUUUUUGGGUGUUUGCUUUUGCAGCACCCAGCAGUUUAUUAAACCCUUUUAUUUUUAAGACUGAGAUUUACCAAUGUAAAAAAAAUUAACAACUUUUGACAACGGAUCUCUUGGCUCUC